CUUAUCAAAGGAAAGCAGUUUGGGAGGGACGGUCGGCUUUGUGAAAUCAAAGAAGAGAACCACUUCUGAAUUCAGGACCAAGAGUUCCUGCCUUAACUGAUCAGUGCAAAGCUAAGAGAGCAACAGAAGUCCCAGUCACAAGUCAAAGAUCUGCGCUGGGAGUGAAAAUCGUAACUACUAAAGACCACUAUGGAGAUAAUGGAAUUUUGUGGAGACAUUCAACUCAGCUCCAUUCAGCAGGCUUUUGUGAACGCAACCCACAAUGCAAAGACACGAUUCCAAAGGUGCCAUCUAAAGCCACCAUCAGAGUAGCCCAUCCGUCCCCUGAGGCUGAGUCAAGGCCAGAUCCUCACGUAGACGUGACCAAACGUGGCCCAGCAUUUUCUCUGACAGGCAGUAAAUGGCAUGAAAGAACUUGCAGCUUCAAAUGACCCGGAAGUGUUUGGCCGGGCUCUCGUGGCCAGCCCUGCCUGAUUCAGGCCCAGUCACAGAUCCUGAGAUGGAGCAGAGACCCCUCUUUAGGGCCUGCUGGGUCCUCCAAACUGGAAAUAAAAGACUAUGUGAGUCCCUUCGGGGGAACUGCCUGAAAAGUGAG
This is a non-coding RNA of Microcebus murinus (gray mouse lemur), 595 nucleotides long. The record is from RefSeq and is a predicted model, not a curated record. NCBI's taxonomy places the organism in Eukaryota, Metazoa, Chordata, Mammalia, Primates, Cheirogaleidae.